Long non-coding RNA from Amphimedon queenslandica, 305 nucleotides. RefSeq lists it as uncharacterized. The record is from RefSeq and is a predicted model, not a curated record. The transcript is spliced from 4 exons. NCBI's taxonomy places the organism in Eukaryota, Metazoa, Porifera, Demospongiae, Haplosclerida, Niphatidae.
AAUAGGAUCAUGAAACUACGGCACUGUUGGUGAAAAAACAUAAUGGUCAUGAGCUGACUCCAUUGUUAGUUGCUAUUCUUGGUAGACAUGAUUUAUUUUGCCAGAGUCAGGCUUGUUUGUGUAUAACUCGUAUAAUUGCUUUCUCUCCUGACCCAAUGGAGGGAGAUCAACUCACACAGCUUAUCAGUUGGAUCACAUCACAACUAAAGGCAGGCAAUGAGUAUUUGGAGUGCAUUACUAAAGCUCUAAUGUCAUUCCUAAGAAGACAAGCGUACCGGGUGCCAUUUUUUGAAGCUCAUGGCAUU